AAGACUAUAGACCUGCGGAGUACCUGCGGAAGGAUCAUUAACGAAUAACUAUGGUGUUGGUUGUCGCUGGCUCCUAGGAGCAUUGUGCACGCCCGCCAUUUUUAUCUUUCCACCUGUGCACUUAGUGUAGAUCUGGAUACCACUCGCUUUCCCAAGCGGACUCAGAGAUUGCUGUGUCGCAAGACCCGGCUCUCUUUGAAUUUCCAGGUCUAUGUCUUUUUUACACACCCCAAUUGAAUG
Molecule: unclassified non-coding RNA, 240 nt
Filed under: soil metagenome
Description: partial contains 5.8S ribosomal RNA, internal transcribed spacer 2, and large subunit ribosomal RNA
Source: RNAcentral